Gallus gallus (chicken) is the source of this 607-nucleotide long non-coding RNA. NCBI's taxonomy places the organism in Eukaryota, Metazoa, Chordata, Aves, Galliformes, Phasianidae. The record is from Ensembl.
CGUCAUUGCCCCGCCCCCACCCCGCAGUGCUCUGGCAGGGGAGGGUCGUGCCUUGUCUCCAUGGCGAUGCAGGCUCUCUUGCUGGCCAGUUUCCGGGAUGCAGCACCCAGAUCUGCAGAAAUGAAAUUUCCCCACGGCUCUCCACACCUCAUCCAGUGUUAAUGAAAUAACGGGGCACACCAGAGCACAGCUGUGAAGCUCACAGCCGUGGAUGGGCUGUCUGUGCUGCAAGCGGAGGCAGUGAAGAAAGGUUGGGGAGCUGCAAAAAAUGUCUGCACAGAUUUGCUCCACUUACUAAAUGUGCAUGCUUUGGGCAUAUCCUGCAUGCCUGGACAGACAGCAUCUGAGUGGCCUGAAUGCACUUAGAAAACCCAAGUCUGCAUCGCUUAUGUGAGUGUAGAUGCAGAGAUGUCUGCGUUACGCUGCUUUGGAGGAGCAACGCGUCCGACUGGAUACGGGAUGUGGCGUGGGCCCAUGUUGUCUGCUGCCUUCCACCAACAAAUAUCUUGGUCUAAAUACAAAGACUUGCAGGACUGAAAGAUUUCUUUCUGUAGAUUUGUCUGAUUUUGUUCCUAAACCAUGCAGCAUUUGCAGCAGCCCAUGGAAG